UGAUGAACAUGACCUUCGGCGGGGGAGUAGCCGGCCCAACGGCCGGGUAAUACCGCGUACGACCACAUGGGGACAUCCCUGAGUGGUGAAAGCAGCAAUGCGCCGGUGGAGUGCCUCGCGGCCUAUCAGCUAGUUGGUGAGGUCAUGGCUCACCAAGGCGACGACGGGUAGCUGGUCCGAGAGGAUGACCAGCCACAUUGGGACUGAGACACGGCCCAGAUCCCGUACGGGG
Molecule: ribosomal RNA, 232 nt
Filed under: uncultured bacterium
Lineage: Bacteria
Description: partial 16S ribosomal RNA
Rfam family: Bacterial small subunit ribosomal RNA
Source: RNAcentral